This 974-nucleotide long non-coding RNA is filed under the name Sorghum bicolor (sorghum). RNAcentral describes it as "long non-coding RNA (SBIC_LNC004071)". Lineage: Eukaryota; Viridiplantae; Streptophyta; Magnoliopsida; Poales; Poaceae. The record is from RNAcentral.
GCCCACAUUGAACUGUCAACCACGUUCACACAAACAAAAAGUCAAUGCUUUGUCCACUCCACAAAGACCUGCAGUCGUCAUUGGUUAGCGGUUCAAUAUUUCUCCAUCCAAAGCAGUACUGAAAGACUCAGCUUGUGGAAAUUCUGUAGAAGAAAAAAAGAACCGUACGUGUGGCAAUUUCUUGUGGUUUGCCAUCCAUUUUUUUAUUUUAAUACUGUAGCACUUUUGUUUGUAUUUGAUAAUUAUUGUUUAACCAUAGGUUAACUAGACUCAAAAGAUUCGUCUCGUCAAUUACAGUCAACUAUGCAAUUAAUUAUUUUUUAUCUUUAUUUAACGUUCCAUGUAUGUAUCCAAGAUUCGAUGUGACGAGAAAUUUUGAUUUUUUUUAAGAUUUUGAGAUGAACUAAAUAAGGCCUGAAUGCUCGUGGGGAAAACCUUUUGAAAUUUAUACGAGCGGGGCCGUGGCGGCUUUCAUGCCUUGUUUAGUUCGUUGGUUGAAGUUUUUUUUUACUAUAGCAUUUUCGUUUGUAUUUGAUAAUUAUUAUUCAAUUAUUGACUAAUUAGGAUUAAAAAUUCAUCUCGCAAAUUACAUAUAAACUAUGCAAUUAGUUAUUUUUUAUCUAUAUUUAAUGCUCCAUGCAUAUGCCGUAAGAUUCAAUGUGAUAGAGAAUCUAAAAAAAAUAGAUUUUGGAUGUAACUAAACAAGGUCUCAAACAAGUCAUGGAAAUCUUUUAUCUUUGCCGAAAAAAGGGAAAGUGAGAGGACUCAUGAAGUCAGGUGCACCGAGCGCAGUGAGGUUGGAGACUGAGGAGGUGUUUGGUUGGGGGCUGUUAAAAUUUAACAGUUGUAGUAUUUUUAUUUUAUUUGACAAUUAGUAUCUAAUUAUAGACUAAUUAAGCUGAAAAGAUUUGUCUCGCAAUUUAGUUUCAUAAAUAGUUUACAUUUCGUACUUUAUGUAUGUGUUUAAAUAUUCG